This 264-nucleotide ribosomal RNA is filed under the name uncultured bacterium. Its description in RNAcentral is "partial 16S ribosomal RNA". It matches the Rfam family "Bacterial small subunit ribosomal RNA", at positions 793 to 1055 of the family's 1533-position model. The record is from RNAcentral.
GUCCACGCCCUAAACGAUGUCGACUGGUUGUUGGGGGUUUGACACUCUCAGUAACGAAGCUAACGCGUGAAGUCGACCGCCUGGGGAGUACGGCCGCAAGGUUAAAACUCAAAGGAAUUGACGGGGACCCGCACAAGCGGUGGAUUAUGUGGAUUAAUUCGAUGCAACGCGAAAACCUUACCUACCCUUGACAUGUCCGAGAGGCCGAAGAGAUUCGGCUGUGCCCGAAAGGGAAUCGGAACACAGGUGCUGCAUGGCUGUCGU